ACCGUACAGGAGGUCCAGCGG
Molecule: unclassified non-coding RNA, 21 nt
Filed under: Chlamydomonas reinhardtii
Lineage: Eukaryota; Viridiplantae; Chlorophyta; Chlorophyceae; Chlamydomonadales; Chlamydomonadaceae
Description: small RNA Cre_0275
Source: RNAcentral